This 84-nucleotide transfer RNA is filed under the name Crassvirales sp. Its description in RNAcentral is "tRNA-Leu". It matches the Rfam family "tRNA". Rfam says of the family: Transfer RNA (tRNA) molecules are approximately 80 nucleotides in length. Their secondary structure includes four short double-helical elements and three loops (D, anti-codon, and T loops). Lineage: Duplodnaviria; Heunggongvirae; Uroviricota; Caudoviricetes; Crassvirales. The record is from RNAcentral.
GGUCUAAUGGUGGAACUGGAAUACACAAGGGACUUAAAAUCCCUCGCCCUUUAGGGAUUGAGGGUUCAAAUCCCUCUUAGACUA